AGAGUUUGAUCCUGGCUGAGAGUGAACGCUGGCGGCGUGCCUAACACAUGCAAGUCGAACGAGAACGGGUUUAGUUUACUAAACUGUCAGCUAAGUGGCGCACGGGUGAGUAAUAUAUAGUUAACCUGCCCCAAAGAAGAGAAUAAUUGUUGGAAACGACUUGUAAUGCUCUAUAUGCCUCUAUUACAUAAGUAAGCGAGGGAAACAUUUAUGGCUUUGGGAUGGGACUGUACGGUAUCAGCUUGUUGGUGAGGUAAUGGCUCACCAAGGCUAUGACGCCUAACUGGUUUGAGAGGAUGAUCAGUCACACUGGAACUGAGACACGGUCCAGACUCCUACGGGAGGCAGCAGUGGGGAAUAUUGCACAAUGGAGGAAACUCUGAUGCAGCAACGCCGCGUGGAGGAUGACACAUUUCGGUGCGUAAACUCCUUUUAUAUGAGAAGAUAAUGACGGUAUCAUAUGAAUAAGCACCGGCUAACUCCGUGCCAGCAGCCGCGGUAAUACGGGGGGUGCAAGCGUUACUCGGAAUCACUGGGCGUAAAGAGCAUGUAGGCUGGUUUGUAAGUUGGAAGUGAAAUCCUAUGGCUUAACCAUAGAACUGCUUCCAAAACUGCAGACCUAGAAUAUGGGAGAGGUAGAUGGAAUUUCUGGUGUAGGGGUAAAAUCCGUAGAGAUCAGAAGGAAUACCGAUUGCGAAGGCGAUCUACUUGGACAUUAUUGACGCUGAGAUGCGAAAGC
This 739-nucleotide ribosomal RNA is filed under the name uncultured bacterium. RNAcentral describes it as "bacterial SSU rRNA". It matches the Rfam family "Bacterial small subunit ribosomal RNA", at positions 8 to 760 of the family's 1533-position model. The record is from RNAcentral.